Long non-coding RNA from Aricia agestis (brown argus), 89 nucleotides. RefSeq lists it as uncharacterized. The transcript is spliced from 3 exons. Lineage: Eukaryota; Metazoa; Arthropoda; Insecta; Lepidoptera; Lycaenidae. The record is from RefSeq and is a predicted model, not a curated record.
GUUAAUUAUCGCUUUAAAUUAUUGUAACUAGUCAACAUAAUAAUUUUCUGUAAAGUUUCUUCAAGGUCCCUUUAUGCAUCUAAUUGAUU